GCAUGGAAGAAUUCUGCAUUGGCUUUUGACGUAGCCAGAGCAGUCAGACACCAUGCAACAGUGAACUUCACUCUUGCUUCUGAACAUGUAGUGUCAUAAUACUGUUGAUAUCUGCAUAAACAGAGUGAAUACAGUU
This is a small nucleolar RNA of Polyodon spathula (Mississippi paddlefish), 136 nucleotides long. RefSeq annotates it as small nucleolar RNA SNORA15. NCBI's taxonomy places the organism in Eukaryota, Metazoa, Chordata, Actinopteri, Acipenseriformes, Polyodontidae. The record is from RefSeq and is a predicted model, not a curated record. The transcript has a single exon.